Molecule: ribosomal RNA, 497 nt
Filed under: uncultured bacterium
Lineage: Bacteria
Description: partial 16S ribosomal RNA
Rfam family: Bacterial small subunit ribosomal RNA
Source: RNAcentral
GAUGAACGCUGGCGGCGUGCCUAACACAUGCAAGUCGAGCGAAAAGACGAGGCGCUUGCUCCUUCCACGUUAGCGGCGCACGGGUGUGUCACACGUAGAACCCCUCCCUAUCUGUCUGGGAUCACUUCGGGACACCGGCGCAUACCCCGUAUAAUAUUUCGCACCGUGUGGUUCGAUGGUGAAAUAUGGCUUUGCUAUCUCUUAUCGCUGGACUUGCGCCGUAUUAGCUAGUUGGUAAGGUAACGGCUUACCAAGGCAACGAUACGUAGCCGACCUGAGAGGGUGAUCGGCCACACUGGAACUGAGACACGGUCCAGAGGCCUACGGGAGGCAGCAGUAGGGAAUCUGCCGCAAUGGGCGAAAGCCUGACGGAGCAACGCCGCGUGAGAGAUGAAGGUCUUCGGAUCGGAAAACUCGGUUAUGAGGGAAGAACAAACUUGUAAGUAACUGUGCACUGCUUGACGGUACCUAAUCAGAAAGCCACGGCUAACUACGUG